RNAcentral lists this ribosomal RNA (397 nucleotides) under uncultured bacterium. RNAcentral's name for it is "bacterial SSU rRNA". It matches the Rfam family "Bacterial small subunit ribosomal RNA", at positions 30 to 426 of the family's 1533-position model. The record is from RNAcentral.
AUUGAACGCUGGCGGCAUGCCUUACACAUGCAAGUCGAACGGCAGCACGGGUGCUUGCACCUGGUGGCGAGUGGCGGACGGGUGAGUAAUACAUCGGAACGUGUCCAGAAGAGGGGGAUAACGCAUCGAAAGAUGUGCUAAUACCGCAUAUACUCUAAGGAGGAAAGCAGGGGAUCGAAAGACCUUGCGCUUUUGGAGCGGCCGAUGUCUGAUUAGCUAGUUGGUGGGGUAAGGGCCUACCAAGGCGACGAUCAGUAGUUGGUCUGAGAGGACGACCAGCCACACUGGGACUGAGACACGGCCCAGACUCCUACGGGAGGCAGUAGUGGGGGAAUUUUGGACAAUGGGCGCAAGCCUGAUCCAGCAAUGCCGUGUGAGUGAAGAAGGCCUCGGUUGU